RNAcentral lists this long non-coding RNA (228 nucleotides) under Phoenix dactylifera (date palm). Its description in RNAcentral is "long non-coding RNA (PDAC_LNC017588)". The record is from RNAcentral. Lineage: Eukaryota; Viridiplantae; Streptophyta; Magnoliopsida; Arecales; Arecaceae.
GAGCCCGUAAAACUAACGUAGGUUGUUGGUGUUCCCGUAAAACCAACGUAGGUUGUUGGUGUUUCCGUAAAACCAACGUAGGUUGUUGGUGAGCCCGUAAAACCAACGGUUAGGUUUAAUUGAUGAUCCCGUAAAACCAAUUGUAGGGUUUUUGGAUUGUGAGCCCGAUAAAACAAUCCAACUGUAUUCCGAGGGGUUAUAGUGAAUUUCCAAGGGAACGCUUGGAAA